This 573-nucleotide long non-coding RNA is filed under the name Apteryx owenii (little spotted kiwi). Its description in RNAcentral is "lncRNA (ENSAOWG00000005421.1)". Lineage: Eukaryota; Metazoa; Chordata; Aves; Apterygiformes; Apterygidae. The record is from RNAcentral.
CGGGGCGGCGCUGCCACCCCACCUGGGUCUCUGCGGGGAGCCAGGAGCUAUAAUCCUAUUUAUUGCCCCGGGUGCGAGCCGUGUGCCAUCGCUGACGCACGGCAGCAGCUAAGCGGCGCAGAGACUUCAUAACCCCCUUUGAGGUGGCCCACAGUGCUGUUUGGUUCAUGAAGCCGGGCUCUAAGUAUUUCUGGAGAGUGACCAGUACAGCGAGGCUCCUGUGCGCUGUGACAGUGCAAGCUGCACAUGUGCAAGCCCCUAACCUGCAGUAUCAAGUCUAACCGUUACCCUCUGGACAUGGAUUACAAGCCCGGGGUUCCAGUGCUCGGAUCACAAAAAGAGGAUGCUGUGAAGCUGCAGAAACUCUGGCAGUAUGAAGGGAAGGAGAUCUCUGAUUUGGACUCUUUUCUGCCAUCAGCUGGAGGGCAGGAUCUUUCUGAGGCCUGUGGGAGGACAGGAUGUGCCAGGAGACCUGAACCACUGGUGAUAGGAGUGAGCACAGCAUCUGUUGUUUCAAGGAGAGCUCUGUGGCUGAGUGAGAAGGGCACUACCAUCCUUAUGGGUUGGGGUAAG